CAAUAUUUUAAGUCAUACUUUUCUACAUUUUUAGCUUCUUAAGUUCAUGAUUGUUGAGAUUUACUGUUACAAGUUUGCUUUUUGUUGUGGUAACAGACUAAGUAAAAUCGUGAUUGACUCUUGAAGUUAAGGACAUCAAAAUAAUUUAGUUUGUUAUGAUAAAGAUAAAUGACUUACUGCAUUUUUAGUUUGCAUUAUAAUGGUGAACAGAAAGACCAGCUUAUUUCUCAUAAUGUUAGGAUUGAAAUUUAAGAGGAAUAUUAAACAGCGAAUUUGAUCAGCUUGAACACUGAAGCUAUCCAUAUUAAAAAUCAAAUGUGUUGUAUUAUUUGCAUUUAGAAAUGUAGUUCUUUAUACAUGUACCAACUUUGUAUAUUAAUAAUACAGUUUCGAG
RNAcentral lists this long non-coding RNA (394 nucleotides) under Mytilus galloprovincialis (Mediterranean mussel). Lineage: Eukaryota; Metazoa; Mollusca; Bivalvia; Mytilida; Mytilidae. The record is from RNAcentral.